Molecule: ribosomal RNA, 84 nt
Filed under: Salmonella enterica subsp. enterica serovar Corvallis
Lineage: Bacteria; Pseudomonadati; Pseudomonadota; Gammaproteobacteria; Enterobacterales; Enterobacteriaceae
Description: partial 16S ribosomal RNA
Rfam family: Bacterial small subunit ribosomal RNA
Source: RNAcentral
UUAAAUUGAAGAGUUUGAUCAUGGCUCAGAUUGAACGCUGGCGGCAGGCUUAACACAUGCAAGUCGAACGGUAACAGGAAGCAG